Molecule: ribosomal RNA, 253 nt
Filed under: uncultured bacterium
Lineage: Bacteria
Description: partial 16S ribosomal RNA
Rfam family: Bacterial small subunit ribosomal RNA
Source: RNAcentral
UACGAAGGGGGCUAGCGUUGCUCGGAAUCACUGGGCGUAAAGGGUGCGUAGGCGGCGCGGUAAGUCGGGUGUGAAAUCCUGGAGCUCAACUCCAGAACUGCCUUUGAUACUGAAGAUCUUGAGUCCGGGAGAGGUGAGUGGAACUGCGAGUGUAGAGGUGAAAUUCGUAGAUAUUCGCAAGAACACCAGUGGCGAAGGCGGCUCACUGGCCCGGUACUGACGCUGAGGCACGAAAGCGUGGGGAGCAAACAGG